GUGCUGUUAGUCUAGGGGUUAUGACUCCUCAUCGUGGCUGAGGCGGCCCGAGUUCGAUUCUCGGACGGCACU
Pavlovales sp. CCMP2436 is the source of this 72-nucleotide non-coding RNA. NCBI's taxonomy places the organism in Eukaryota, Haptophyta, Pavlovophyceae, Pavlovales. The record is from the annotation of a GenBank genome assembly.